This 518-nucleotide ribosomal RNA is filed under the name uncultured bacterium. RNAcentral describes it as "bacterial SSU rRNA". It matches the Rfam family "Bacterial small subunit ribosomal RNA", at positions 8 to 518 of the family's 1533-position model. The record is from RNAcentral.
AGAGUUUGAUCCUGGCUUAGGAUGAACGCUAGCGGCAGGCUUAACACAUGCAAGUCGAGGGGCAGCGGGAUGUAGCAAUACAUUGCCGGCGACCGGCGGAUGGGUGCGUAACGCGUAUGCAACCUACCUUAUACAGGGGAAUAACCUUUCGAAAGGGAGACUAACACCCCAUAGUAUUGAUUUAAGGCAUCUUAGAUUAAUUAAAUAUUUAUAGGUAUAAGAUGGGCAUGCGUAUGAUUAGCUAGUUGGUAAGGUAACGGCUUACCAAGGCGACGAUCAUUAGGGGUUCUGAGAGGAAGGUCCCCCACACUGGUACUGAGACACGGACCAGACUCCUACGGGAGGCAGCAGUGAGGAAUAUUGGUCAAUGGGCGCAAGCCUGAACCAGCCAUGCCGCGUGCAAGGAAGACGGCCUUAUGGGUUGUAAACUGCUUUUACAUAAGACUAACCGUAUAUUUGCGAAUAUACCUGAAUGUAUUAUGAGAAUAAGGAUCGGCUAACUCCGUGCCAGCCGCCGC